Molecule: ribosomal RNA, 253 nt
Filed under: uncultured bacterium
Lineage: Bacteria
Description: partial 16S ribosomal RNA
Rfam family: Bacterial small subunit ribosomal RNA
Source: RNAcentral
UACAGAGGGGGCGAGCGUUGUUCGGAAUUACUGGGCGUAAAGGGCGCGUAGGCGGCCUCUUAAGUCGAACGUGAAAUCCCCGGGCUCAACCCGGGAAGUGCACUUGAAACUGCAUAGCUUGAGUACGGUAGAGGUGAGUGGAAUUCCUGGUGUAGUGGUGAAAUACGUAGAUAUCAGGAGGAACAUCGGUGGCGAAGGCGGCUCACUGGACCAGUACUGACACUGAGGAGCGAAAGCAUGGGGAUCAAACAGG